GGUUAAGUGAAUAAGGGCGCACGGUGGAUGCCUUGGCACUAGGAGCCGAUGAAGGACGGGACUAACACCGAUAUGCUUCGGGGAGCUGUAAGUAAGCUUUGAUCCGGAGAUUUCCGAAUGGGGAAACCCAGCAUCUUUUAUAGGAUGUUACUUUUCAGUGAAUACAUAGCUGAUU
RNAcentral lists this ribosomal RNA (175 nucleotides) under Enterococcus dongliensis. Its description in RNAcentral is "partial 23S ribosomal RNA". It matches the Rfam family "Bacterial large subunit ribosomal RNA", at positions 1 to 175 of the family's 2925-position model. The record is from RNAcentral. Lineage: Bacteria; Bacillati; Bacillota; Bacilli; Lactobacillales; Enterococcaceae.